Molecule: unclassified non-coding RNA, 390 nt
Filed under: soil metagenome
Description: partial contains 5.8S ribosomal RNA, internal transcribed spacer 2, and large subunit ribosomal RNA
Rfam family: 5.8S ribosomal RNA (bases 1-122)
Source: RNAcentral
GAUGAAGAACGUAGCGAAAUGCGAUACUUGGUGUGAAUUGCAGAAUCCCGCGAAUCAUCGAGUUUUUGAACGCAAGUUGCGCCCGAAGCCAUUCGGCCGAGGGCACGUCUGCCUGGGUGUCACGCAUCGUUGCCCCCCCAAACUCCGGGUUGGGCGGGGCGGAAGUUGGCCUCCCGUGCGUGCCUGCGCGCGCGGUUAGCCCAAAAGCGAGUCCUCGGCGACGAGCGCCACGACAAUCGGUGGUUUUUUUACCCUCGUUCCUCGUCGUGCGUGUCCCGUCGCCCGAACGCGCUCUUGUGACCCUCACGCGUCGCCUCAGUGGCGCUCCCAACGCGACCCCAGGUCAGGCGGGACUACCCGCUGAGUUUAAGCAUAUCAAUAAGCGGAGGA